GUGGUCCGUGAGCAGGGGAAACCCCCUGGGAGAAAUAAAACCUGUUUCUCUAACUCUUAUUUAUAUCCAAGCUCAGCUGUGGGUCAAUCUGUGGUAGCAGCAAUUAGAAGUGAAGGUGCAGAGGGCACCUUCCCCACUGAAAUUCAAAAGUUAAUUUGGGAUAAUGCAACUACAUUUGAAAAAGAAUUCAAUCUUGGUGGUAUCUAGUCAAUUUUACUUACAUUGCUGAUUAAAUUAUUAAAUUGUUCUUAUCUCGACCCUCGACUUUGAACAUUCCUUUCCAAUUCUCCUCCCCACCCCUCUGGGUGGUGGGCAGUCAACAAGCAGCUGUGUGGUGCUUGGUUGCCGGCUGGGAUUAAACCCCAACAUUUUGGUACAUCAUAAAACAAAAACCCCAGCUUCAGCCACCCAAACCACACAAAUGAGCACAUCACAAAUAGCUCUGCUCGACUAUCUACUUACUGUGGACCUGUAAGCGUGUAAAUGACCAGUAUCCUAGUUAUGGCACAGAGGCAAGAGGUGAGCAUGCCACCACUCUGUGAGGGUAAGAGGAACUGACUGUCAUCUUGGGGUGGAGGGUGGUGAUGUGCUCCCCCUGUCGCCAGUCGUCCCCCCCCCCCCCCCCCCCCCGCAUUCUAACCUGUGUUGCAUCACAAUGCUCAAGUGAUGACCACCAGUGGUGGCGGUGACGGGCGGCUCUGGUCCUGGCUCACAGUGCGUUCCGGGAGACAGAUAAGAGCCCGACAGCCAAGGGCUAGUUUGAACAACGUGCCCACCUGGCAGUGCUGGCCACGGUCUGACUCAGGCCAAGCCUGGAAGAGGCUGACUUCUGUAGGCGGUGUGCAGAUGUGACUGUGAGGUAAUUCUCUGACUCUGUUAAUCUUGGACGGCCCAGGGCCCGUUGAGCUCUGCCGUGCAGCACCAGCUGGCACAGCUCUCGCCUUGAGUAGGGAUGCCUCUCUAGGCUAUAUGCAGCAUUUUAUCUCUGUUUUGCUUGUUUCUGAAGGGAAAACCUUCAUUUGGGAACGCUGAGCACCGUAUGAAAAGACCUGAGGCUUGAAAUCCACAGCAAAGGCACGUAGUGCUGACCUGCACCCAGUUCCUCGCAGCAGGAUGUUGUGCCAGGAGAGGGCAAGAACGUGGGCAGCAACGGGGCCUGCGCCUGUGGGUGUUGAUGGAGCCAGCGGCUCGGGCGAUCACAAGUCGAGCAGGGUGUUGCACGUGGUAAGAGAGGCGCAUCCUCUCGCAGCACGUCUUGCUGACCUACUGAAUUGUGUUUUCCCAUCAGCACGGUCGGCACAUUGUCCUUGUUUCACUGUUCACUGAAAGCCAUUCCCACAGGUUACCGAGGAGCUGGACUGUAAAGCCAAGGAAUCGGGAGCAGGUACAGCCACAGGCAGACAGAGUAUGGUUCUUAAGUAGCUUGCACAAUGGCAUAAUUUACUGUCUCCGCUGGGCUCUUGUGAGCGUCAGCAAAGGGAUUCAGCAAAGCCUUCAGAUUCUCACUGUGUCCCUGCCGCUGAGACUUCAAGAGCCACUGUCCCCUGUUCUCUUUGCAGCUGCAGUGCCACUGGGAGCAGUGGGUUUGGAGGGCAGGCUCCCAGGGAGGUGGGAAGAGGGGAGAGCUUCCAGCCAGGGCUCCGCCGUGGGUGGGAUGCGACAAGGGUGGGGAAGAGUGUGACAAGGGAAUCGGGGAGGCAGAAGCCCUGCAAAGAGCCAGGUUUCUGCAGGUGGGUGGUUUGUUUUCAUUCUAGCGCUUUGGCUGAUUAAGGGCGGGACUCUGAGCUGAGAGGCUUGGCUAAAAGGCCAGAGCAGUGCACCUGCAGGAGCACAUCACAAGACUGGCUCCCAGUGUGCUGGGAGGGCUUGGGUUAUCGGCAACCUGACUGCUUUGCAGCUGAGCGUCUCCUUGGUGCGCGAAGUCAGUGGUGGCAAGAUUCAAAAUGGGCAUGUCUGUAGGAGAAGGCCUCAAGGGCAAGAGUCCAAGUACUGAUAGCCUGAUGAAUAGAGACUCGUUAGAACUUGUAGGGCACAAGCCCUGGGAACAAAGGAACAAGCUAACUGCAGACCCCUGAGCCGUUACAGCUGAGGAGGCAACCAGACGGACAGAGAAACGAGUAGCCAGAUAAGGGAACGGAGAGCGCCGAUAUGUACCUUUGUUAAUCAAGAAAGCCGCCCAUAAGGAAACCCCCUAAUUUUGGAAUAGAAAUUGUUGCUAUGUCAAGGUAAACUAGUAAGUUCCUAUUGUUUUAACGGUGUGCCUUAAAUAUCAACCAAUCAGUGUUUUUUACGCUUAAGAUUUAAGCAAUCAGUGUGUAAUAUGUAGAAGGUAGAAACGUAUAUAAUUGUAAGACAAUCACUAAUAAACCGACAACUUGCUUGCAUCAAGCUGCGUCCCGUCUCUUCAUUCGCCGCACAUGUCGGUCUUUUCACUCCCUUUUUUUGAGGCUCUGCAAAUGAGAACAGAGCGCUACGGUGAGCUACUAAAGAAAGAAGACCUACAUCUGUCUGUCUUCAGAUUCCCCAGAUGUUCUCAGUGAGCUGGGUGAGAAGAAAGCCUAUGGGACUGGAGGACUGCUGGGUCACAAUCACCACAAGUGUUUGAGAUCAUCCUGGCGUACCUGGAGAAGAAAGACUGGAAGGACGCCUCGUCAGUGUCUUGCCACAGCGGAAAGGGGCUGUUGCGUUGGGAGAGGCCGAUGAUUCGUCCAAGCGUGCUCUGUCUGGAAAAGAAGAUGGAGACGAUGACUCGGACAGCGACUAGGCUUCACAAUGAGACGAUGGGAAAGAUGGGACACGUAGUCCGUGGGAUGAAGUUUGGACGUGAAGUGGUUCCGCUCCAAAGACCAUCUGCUGCCCUUGUGACACCGGAUUGUCCCAAUGCUCGAUAGUUCCGUAGCUGGCCCAGAGCUGUUCCUGGACAUGAAGGGCAAAGAUAAAUGUGGGUUUUUUACCCUGAAGCUUCCGUAUUAAUAGCUUAUUUUUGUAAAAAAUAAAGUAAUGGCAAAUGUAGAAUUUAUUUUGUUUCCCAAGGAAGCGAUUGCAUUCCUUUUUUUUUUUUUUUACAAUUCUUUUAAAUGUGACUUUUUCUACAUACCAAGUUGGGCACGUUACCCAAGAGCAUUAGUAGAUGCUAUUUGAAUGGAUGCCGCCUUCUCUGUUCCUGCCCUAAGUUUUCUUGAAAGCGGUGAAUGGUGACCUCACAACCUGUUCCGCUAGUGCCGUUGCCAAGUGUGCAUGAACACUCGGCACAAACAAGCAGAAAUUCUAAUUUUCCUGAGCUCCUCAACAGACAAUCACCAGCAACCAAACUGCCUUCAUCAGCUGAGCCACGCUGACUUGUAUACCAUGCGCAGAUAGCUGGGGUCGGUAGAUGAGCUACGAGCGUGGGGUUACGCCAAUGCUUUAGACUUCAGCUUGAGCAGGAUGGACGUCUGCGCAAGCGCGAAUCACGUGCCUUGGUUGGCACAUGGUGCGCAUGGAGUUGAGGCGUCACGAUCGCUUUUGGUUACUUCUCGGUCCUCCUAGCAAAAUUGAUCACGGAGCCUCAGAACAGUACCAGGAGACAGGAGCUCUCUCUUUCAAGUCACUUACUGAGUUUCAGUAGGUCUGAUUUAUGACAUGAUCCUGCGUGCAUUGUUUUCUCUGUCAAAUAUUUUUCCUUUACAAAAAGAGGCAUAGUCUCAGUUUUGGCUGGAUGUUCUGGUUCCACUCAUUUCUAACUGACUGAAGUGCUCUUGCAAAGGACGGAAACGGAGACCGUGGAAGCGUGGCUUCGCUUCAGGCUUGUGAGCCUGCCCCAUCCCUUUCUCCUGUAGGGACUAGCCAGGAGGCUCUGAAAACUUGGCCAUAUUCAGUCAUCACGAUCCAGUGCAUAACUCCUGCUUACUUCUGCGUUCGCUGUGCACUCCAAAGAGUUCACGUAUUUCUCGAGUGGGCCAGCUCUGCAGUGAUAAGAUUACGUCUCGGGAGAAGGAUAGAAAGAAGUACUUGCAGAAGAAGCUUAGUUUGCAAGCUGAGGACUUCACGGAGCAUUUAGCAAUAGUUGACAUGGAUGUGUGACUGUUGAAGUCAGGCUACUACCCGAACCUUCUCAGUAACAGCAGACACAUCCUAAAGACUAGAGACUCCCAGCUUUUUGGGGUAGGGACAAGCAAUAGUUCAGAAGCUGGGACAUCUAAUUUUAUCAGAGGACACAGAAACGUCGCUGCCUCACAGAGCAGCCUUGAGAGUUACUCUGCCGCUGCUGCACCCUGACGUGAUUGUAAGAAUCUGCUUCAGCUUCUCGUGCUAGUGAAUCCAGGCCUCUAAUAAGGCAGGCAGGUGGGAUCAAGGAUAACGUAACACAAACAGCUUUAAUGCUUAUCUUGAGUCACACGUUGAACAUAACCUUGUUCUUCUCUUUAUUACUAGGAUGGGUGAAGUGCCCUUGAGAGAGCUUUGUUGUCAGACGUCUAGCAAAUACAGUCACGGGUGCUUUGGAAAGGGAAAUGGGUGAGAAGGUGCAAUUGAUUGUAACUAUCCUUGCAAACUAUUGCCCUUCUGGCUCUUACCACGUUUGUUCCAUGACCUGUCAGCUUCAAAGUUCAUGGAGGGAAUGCAACCGUGCUGUUGAAAGACUACAUUAAUGUGGUUGCUUUAGUUUUGGUUCUGUUCAGUAGUGAUCCUGUGAGGCCUCUGCGAUGUAAUUAAGGUUUUCAGGCUCAGCUGCUGCAGCAUGGUGCUGAGGGACAGCUGGUAGGAAACACUCAGGACAGAGAUUUGAAUGGGAUUAAGACAGUCAUGAGUACAGCCCAAAAGCAUGUGGUCAAGUUCAAGUGUGGCCCGUUCAACAAGUCAUUACCACAGCCCUGUCAGUGUGUGGUCACUUAACCCUGCUGUCUGGUUUCCAGCUGACUUUGUAGUGUUUACACCUAAGACACCAGGGAAGUUGCAAAGCACUGCCAGCUCCUGUCCUGCUAGAAGCUCCGUCCCCAUUUACUGCAGACGGCAGACUCCUACUCUUGUGCAGCUGUACAGAAAUUGCAUAUCUCGGAAAAUGUUCCCCAUUUACAUGGCUUUGUGCGAAUGAGUUUCUGCCUCUGUGGUCUGAGUUGGCAGGCAGACCUGAGUAAUGCCCACUCUGUGUGACUGGCCUUUGGCCAGCCAUUCAUAAAAACUCUGUUUCCUGAAUGUGCGGCCACACGUUCCUUCAGCCUUACCAGCCUGCUCCGCUGGGGGCUCUAGCACAGCUGGGCACGUGCAGCAGUGAGUGAGCAGCACGAGAAAGCCGAGCUGAGGUAGGCCACCGGGUCUUGGCAUACUCCUCUCCUGCAGCGGGAGAUGGGAAUGGAGGUGGUAGUUGUGACUAUAGUAGGCAUGAUUUGAAGGCAGGGGCCCUUGGAAAGAGAACACUGAGCUCUGCGCUGAGCUAAGCUCCUCCUUCUUUAACGCUGUGCUGCCAGGGUUUCUCUCCUUCCCCGCAAACGGCCAGAUGCCUUGAGUGAGCUUGUCUGCACCGAAUCAUCUGAGUCUGGAAAACAGAUGGGAGUAGGGUUGACUUGUCACCUUGUCUUGUUUUUGUGAGAUUUAAUUGGCAGAGGUAUCUUUUAGAUGGGUAAGCCCCAGUUCUUCCGCUUUCACAGUCCACUCACAGGGCCUGAAAAAGGGCCAGAUGCAUUUCUGUCCUUGUUGGCUGUAUUUCAACAGCUCGAGGUUUGCACGGUGCAUUGGAAGGCUGGUUUUGGUCUCAUCCUGUCUCGUCCGUGUCUCCCCCCUCCGCAUUGGAUGCUACAGUGUGUGCUGCUUCUCUGCCAGUCGUGAGAGCUGUGAAAGCAAAUUCCAGCUUGCUGUGAGGCAGACGACUGCAGUCAUUGUGCAGGCCACAUGUGGCAAGUCCAGGGUCUUUCUUUUUCUUUUUUUUUUUUUCUUUUCUUCCCCAGUGCCUAGGGCUUGGUGUGCAUCUCUGCAGACAGGGUGUGCGUGCCCCUCUUCCUACCCCAGUAUGUCUGUGACUGCAGAGCCAAGCCUACACACAAGAGCUCUUUGUGCAGGCCUGGCUGAGUCACGCAAACAGAUGACCCUGAUGCCAAAAGGCGUUGCCUCUGUCCCUCUUUUCAUUUAGCUCGCGUCUCAUGUACCUGUGCAGCAUGGUUGGGUUGAAUGACUUGAGGACAAAAUACAAUGAACAUCAAAUUGUUUUAUUAGGAAGUCUGAACGCCUGUCUUUAUAAUCUAAGUGCUCAGGUCACAUAUUUCUGUAUGUGAAGGUGGCUGGGAGAUGCUUCAGCGGCUGUGAAUAGGGGAGGCCUCCGCUGGAAAAGGGAUAUCCGUGGUUUGGGGGCGGCCGUGGUACAGGUGAGAUUUCUGGUAGAGUGUGAGGGCAGGACGGCCUCUUGUUUCCACCACACUUUCUCAGCUGUAGCUCUUCCCUGGGAAGAGCAUGUCUGCUUGCGCUGGACCUCUCUUUCUCAGCGUUGCGGACAAAAGAUGUUCUUUCUCCCUUUCUGGAAAACAUUUUGGAAAAGCAAGCUGUAUAUUACGAGGCUAGGCUUAGGAUGCUGUUAGGCUCGUUUGGCUUUGUUCGGUACGCAGCUGAGAGUAUAGAAGCACAUCUGCUCUUUGGCAAAGAAGCCUCACUGGGCACCGCUGUCGAAAAGCAGAGGUGCUUGCUUUGGAGGUUUCCUCUUCCUCCUUCUAGUUCUUAGGUAAGAUUCCUCUUCACCCUCUCCUCCAGCUGAGUUCCAAGCAAUAGUAAAUGCUGGCAGCGUCAGAGCUGGCAUGAGUGGCUUUGUUAAAAUGAUCACGUACGCUGGGACUGGCUUGUGUUGCCUCCGUGUGCUUCAGAAGGGGCACAAAGAGGUGACGGUGGCGUUCCUUGGCAGCGCCAGUAUGUUUGGCUUGCCCUGACUGGGUAGAGGGUGCAAGAGUGGGCUUUGGUAGCUGGAAAGGUCUGAGGAGGCCUGACGUAGCCUGCAGAGAGUGAGGGCGAGAUGUUAGCAGAGGGCGAAUGCCAGAGUUUGUUGGCAGAGGGAGUUUCAGCUUGCGUGUGACUUACAGGAGCAGACCUCAGAAUGUCACAGGCUCACGGAACGGCUGGGGUUGGAAGGGACCUGUGCAGGCCAUGUCGUGCAACCCCCUGCUAAAGCCGGUUUGCCUCGAGCGGGUUGCACAGGGUCGCGUCCAGGUGGGGUUUGAGUAUCUCCAGGGAAGGAGGCUGCACAGCCUCUCUGGGCAGCCUGUGCCAGGGCUCCGACAGCCUCCAAGUGAAGGUGUUUUCCCUCACACUCGGAUGGAAUUUCCUGUGUUUCAGUUGGCGCCCGUCGCCCCUUGUCCUGACGCUGGGCACCACUGAAAAGAGCCUGGCCCCAUCCUCUUGACACUUGCCCUAAAGAUAUUUAU
Long non-coding RNA from Falco peregrinus (peregrine falcon), 7379 nucleotides. RefSeq lists it as uncharacterized. Lineage: Eukaryota; Metazoa; Chordata; Aves; Falconiformes; Falconidae. The record is from RefSeq and is a predicted model, not a curated record. The transcript has 3 exons.